This 76-nucleotide transfer RNA is filed under the name Bacteroides uniformis. RNAcentral describes it as "tRNA-Ala". It matches the Rfam family "tRNA". From Rfam's summary of the family: Transfer RNA (tRNA) molecules are approximately 80 nucleotides in length. Lineage: Bacteria; Pseudomonadati; Bacteroidota; Bacteroidia; Bacteroidales; Bacteroidaceae. RNAcentral also lists the same sequence under 15 other names. The record is from RNAcentral.
GGGGAUAUAGCUCAGCUGGGAGAGCGCCUGCCUUGCAAGCAGGAGGUCGCCGGUUCGAACCCGACUAUCUCCACCA